AUACGUAGGUGGCAAGCGUUGUCCGGAUUUACUGGGUGUAAAGGGCGUGUAGGCGGAGAUGCAAGUCAGGAGUGAAAUCUAGGGGCUCAACCCCUAAACUGCUUUUGAAACUGUAUCCCUUGAGUAUCGGAGAGGCAGGCCGGAUUCCUAGUGUCGCGGUGGGAUGCGUAGAUAUUAGGAGGAACACCAGUGGCGAAGGCGGCCUGCUGGACGACAACUGACGCUGAGGCGCGAAAGUGUGGGGAGCAAACAGGAUUAGAUACCCUGGUAGUCCACGCUGUAAACGAUGAAUACUAGGUGUGGGGGGACUGACCCCCUCCGUGCCGCAGUUAACACAAUAAGUAUUCCACCUGGGGAGUACGAUCGCAAGAUUGAAACUCAAAGGAAUUGACAGGG
RNAcentral lists this ribosomal RNA (396 nucleotides) under uncultured bacterium. RNAcentral describes it as "partial 16S ribosomal RNA". It matches the Rfam family "Bacterial small subunit ribosomal RNA", at positions 523 to 918 of the family's 1533-position model. The record is from RNAcentral.